GACGUAGGGCGCGAGCGUUGUCCGGAUUUAUUGGGCGUAAAGAGCUCGUAGGCGGCUUGUUGCGUCAGCUGUGAAAACCCGCAGCUCAACUGUGGGCUUGCAGCUGAUACGGGCAGGCUUGAGUUCGGUAGGGGAGACUGGAAUUCCUGGUGUAGCGGUGAAAUGCGCAGAUAUCUGGAGGAAUACCGGUGGCGAAGGCGGCAUCCUGGACCAUUACUGACGCUGAAGCGCGAAAGCUAGGGGAGCAAACGGG
RNAcentral lists this ribosomal RNA (253 nucleotides) under uncultured bacterium. Its description in RNAcentral is "partial 16S ribosomal RNA". It matches the Rfam family "Bacterial small subunit ribosomal RNA", at positions 524 to 776 of the family's 1533-position model. The record is from RNAcentral.